This 253-nucleotide ribosomal RNA is filed under the name uncultured bacterium. Its description in RNAcentral is "partial 16S ribosomal RNA". It matches the Rfam family "Bacterial small subunit ribosomal RNA", at positions 524 to 776 of the family's 1533-position model. The record is from RNAcentral.
UACGUAGGGGGCAAGCGUUGUCCGGAAUCAUUGGGCGUAAAGAGCGUGUAGGCGGUUCAGUAAGUCCGCUGUGAAAGUCAAGGGCUCAACCCUUGAAUGCCGGUGGAUACUGUUGAACUAGAGUCCGGAAGAGGCGAGUGGAAUUCCUGGUGUAGCGGUGAAAUGCGCAGAUAUCAGGAGGAACACCGAUUGCGAAGGCAGCUCGCUGGGACGGUACUGACGCUGAGGCACGAAAGUGUGGGGAUCAAACAGG